This 341-nucleotide long non-coding RNA is filed under the name Glycine max (soybean). Its description in RNAcentral is "long non-coding RNA (GMAX_LNC003579)". The record is from RNAcentral. Lineage: Eukaryota; Viridiplantae; Streptophyta; Magnoliopsida; Fabales; Fabaceae.
UUGUCCAAGCCUAUUCUCCAUUCAUGUACUUGCAUCCUGAUGAAGAGUUCCAACCUGCUUCCACCAAGUGGUAUUUCACAAAUGGGGCAUUGCUUGUUAAGAAAGGAGAAGAGUCCAAACCUGUGCCAAUAGACCCUACAGGUUCUAACCUUCCUCAGGGUGGCAACAAUGAUGGUGAGUAUUGGUUGGACCUUCCUUCUGACAAAGCCAACAAGGAAAGGGUGAAAAAGGGUGAUUUCAAGAGUUGCCAAGCCUAUGUUCAUGCCAAACCCAUGUUUGGUGGAACAUUCACUGACCUUGUCAUGUGGGUUUUCUACCCAUUCAAUGGGCCUGGAACAGCC